This 309-nucleotide unclassified non-coding RNA is filed under the name plant metagenome. RNAcentral's name for it is "partial contains 5.8S ribosomal RNA, internal transcribed spacer 2, and large subunit ribosomal RNA". The stretch from base 1 to 105 matches the Rfam family "5.8S ribosomal RNA", at positions 50 to 154 of the family's 154-position model. The record is from RNAcentral.
GAAAUGCGAUAAGUAAUGUGAAUUGCAGAAUUCAGUGAAUCAUCGAAUCUUUGAACGCACAUUGCGCCCGCCAGUAUUCUGGCGGGCAUGCCUGUUCGAGCGUCAUUUCAACCAUCAAGCCCCCGGGCUUGUGUUGGGGACCUGCGGCUGCCGCAGGCCCCGAAAACCAGUGGCGGGCUCGCUGUCACACCGGGCGUAGUAGAUUUUUCGUCUCGCCCAGGGCGUGCUGUGGGUUCCGGCCGUUAAAAAGCCUCUCUUUUAACCCAAGGUUGACCUCGGAUCAGGUAGGAAGACCCGCUGAACUUAAGC